RNAcentral lists this ribosomal RNA (325 nucleotides) under uncultured eukaryote. RNAcentral describes it as "partial 18S ribosomal RNA". It matches the Rfam family "Eukaryotic small subunit ribosomal RNA", at positions 1470 to 1796 of the family's 1831-position model. The record is from RNAcentral.
CCCUUAGAUGUUCUGGGCCGCACACGCGCUACACUGAAGGAGGCAGCGUGUACUCCUGGAUCGAAAGAUUUGGGUAACCCGCGAAUCUCCUUCGUGCUAGGGAUUGAGGUUUGCAAUUAUCCUUCAUGAACGAGGAAUUCCCAGUAAGUGCAAGUCAUAAGCUUGCGCUGACUACGUCCCUGCCCUUUGUACACACCGCCCGUCGCUCCUACCGAUUGAAUGGUCCGGUGAAGCGUUUGGACUAUGGUUUUCUGACGGUUCGCCAUUGGAUUACCGUGGGAAAUUCGUUAAACCUUAUCAUUUAGAGGAAGGAGAANUCGUANCA